RNAcentral lists this ribosomal RNA (253 nucleotides) under uncultured bacterium. RNAcentral describes it as "partial 16S ribosomal RNA". It matches the Rfam family "Bacterial small subunit ribosomal RNA", at positions 524 to 776 of the family's 1533-position model. The record is from RNAcentral.
UACGUAGGUGGCGAGCGUUGUCCGGAUUUACUGGGCGUAAAGCGCGCGCAGGCGGACUGAUCAGUCUGGGGUGAAAUCUCACGGCUCAACUGUGAGCGGUCCCUGGAUACUGUCAGUCUUGAGAUGUCUAGAGGAGAGCGGAAUUCCCGGUGUAGUGGUGGAAUGCGUAGAUAUCGGGAAGAACACCAGUGGCGAAAGCGGCUCUCUGGGGACCAUCUGACGCUGAGGCGCGAAAGCGUGGGGAGCGAACGGG